This 403-nucleotide ribosomal RNA is filed under the name uncultured Oscillibacter sp. RNAcentral's name for it is "bacterial SSU rRNA". It matches the Rfam family "Bacterial small subunit ribosomal RNA", at positions 356 to 774 of the family's 1533-position model. The record is from RNAcentral. Lineage: Bacteria; Bacillati; Bacillota; Clostridia; Eubacteriales; Oscillospiraceae.
GGGGCAUAUUGGGCAAUGGACGCAAGUCUGACCCAGCAACGCCGCGUGAAGGAAGAAGGCUUUCGGGUUGUAAACUUCUUUUAAGGGGGAAGAGUAGAAGACGGUACCCCUUGAAUAAGCCACGGCUAACUACGUGCCAGCAGCCGCGGUAAUACGUAGGUGGCAAGCGUUGUCCGGAUUUACUGGGUGUAAAGGGCGUGUAGCCGGGAAGGUAAGUCAGAUGUGAAAGGUACCGGCUCAACCGGUAACAUGCAUUUGAAACUGAAAGACUUGAGUAUUGGAGAGGCAAGUGGAAUUCCUAGUGUAGCGGUGAAAUGCGUAGAUAUUAGGAGGAACACCGGUGGCGAAGGCGGCUUUCUGGACUGUAACUGACGCUGAGGCACGAAAGCGUGGGUAGCAAACA